GAAGAAAGACUAUUUUGUUUCUGAUUGCAGGGGUCCUUGGGGCAUAUUAUGUUUAUACUCCUCUCUCAGAUAAUAUUGAGGAACUCUGGUGACUGGUGUGGAUAGCUACACCUGUGAAAAUGGUAACAAAUUUGCUUUGUUUAAUUAUGACUUUCUGUCAAGAUGAACAGCUGAUAGACUUAAUGCUGUUGUUGUAUCAACC
Molecule: long non-coding RNA, 202 nt
Filed under: Homo sapiens (human)
Lineage: Eukaryota; Metazoa; Chordata; Mammalia; Primates; Hominidae
Description: non-protein coding lnc-AADACL2-1:8
Source: RNAcentral